AGACACCAGAGCCUCCAUCGCAACCCUCGGCGCGACCCCUGCGGCCCCCCAGAAUCCGGCCCGCUCGCCUUCCGCCCCUUCCCUCUCCCGCCCAGCCGCACUCCCAUCCCCAGUCACAGCUCCUCGCUCCGCACUCAGGCAGGGGCUGCAAAGGGGCCACGUGUCCUAGACUGCCAUCAGUUUAUCGAUCUGAGUUGGCUGCAAUGGUUCAUCCCCACCACAAGCCAGCGCUGUGGUCCCUUGGAAGCACCCACCUGGCCACCGCUGGCCAGGUAGGAAGCGCCCUCUUGCUGCUGGGUGGGGAAUCUCUGACUUCCAGGGCCCAGGAGGCUGCGACAGAGUCUGCCCAGUCAGGACAGGUGACAACGGGCUGAAGCCUAGGUACAACCACCUCCCCCUGCUUGAGUCCUGUGGGCUGAUAACUUUGUAUGGCCGACAAAAAAGACAGAAAAAGGUUCCCUCCGCCCGCCUUAGACCAUCCAUUAAUCCUGACGCUUGAGGGCUUUUAGGAGCAUGAGGGGGCCCAAGCUGCUGCCCGCCAUUUCUAAGGGCAGCGAGGGUGUCUCUGUGCCACCCAAACCCUGGAAGCUCGGAAGCUUCCUUUCCACAGGCCCCUCCCAUCCAGGGAAUGGGACCGAGCAGGAGGCUCUGAGGGUGGGGGGGGGGGGAAAGACCCCCAGAGAAAAGCGGGUGGGGCAGCUGCCUCAGAGGGACCUGAGAAAGGUGGCAGGGAAAGCCCAGCAGAAGGGGGGGUCGCAGAGGACUCGCCCAAGCCAGCAAUGCCUCCGUGUGGGUGUGAAAAGCCCGUGCAGUUUGGGGCGGGAUGUGCUAAAUUUGAAGCUUGAUGAAUACGAGAAUCCCAAGCACAGGGGAUGAUGACAUGGGAGUGAAUGAAAUCCCUGAGGGACACUCUCUUCUUUCUCACAAGUGUCAAACUCAAAUAGAAAUAUCUGGACCAGAGGAACCUGUGGGCUGACUUGGUUUUAAAAUGUUAUGUCUUAUGUUUUACUGUAUUUUAUUUUGUUAAAUGUUUUCCCAAUUAACUUUACUAGAGGCCAGGCAGCACUUUGGAGGGCUGUGAGUCACAUGUUUAAUACUUCUGGUUUAACAUGCUCACUGACUUUGAUAAAGGCACAGUCUUCAAAUGCGCAGAUGGCAGCCUGCCUGUCAGAGGCGGUUCCAAAAAGAUCUCAGCACACAGAGCACUGGGCUGAACGGAAUAAUGUAAAACUAAAUAGGGGCCAAUGUAAAAGUUUACAAGGGCUCAAAAAACCAAUUUCACCAGUAGAGGAUGGGUACUUGGCAGGGAGGCUAGCUUACAAGGCCUUAUUUUAGCUUGUUUUCUGCAGGCAACAUCUGGCAAGCUAAGAGGAGCUUUGCUCUAAUAAGCCAGAUGUUUCCUUCCUAUGUGAUAACAGGCCCACUAGAAGAGAGCAGAGGGAAUCACUUAAUGGGCUAACCAAAAAGUUUGAGAGAGGAGUCUCAUUUUUACUCAGUUUUAUGUUUUUCACAUUCCCAAAUUCAAUUUACAUUUGGGUUCACAUUUCCCUUCUGAAAUAUAUAGAAUAAUUUGUCUGAAAAAGAUCUUGGGGAUUUAUAGGUAAUUUAGCAAGGUGACAGGCAGCCCAAAAAGCUGCUGCAGUCUUGCACCACAGCUUCUGGAAUGAGAUUAUAAGGCCUUUGUAGUCUGGACAACCACUGGUUUAAGGAGAGCACUGAGGAUUCAGACUGCUCUGGAAAAGCACUGAAUGAGGUCCCUUCUAACCAUCAGCCCACUAGUGCCUGUACCAACUCUGGCCCCCCAACUUCUCCAGCACUUACAGCUGCAAACACCUCUCAUUUCAUAUUAGCACAUGUUCAUGUCAGCCUUCUAUUGCUAUUUCACCUUAGUACGUGUGGAACAGAGACUAGAUUCCACACUCCUUUGGAUUUUUCCCAGAAACCACCAGAACUUUACCACCUUGUGCAUGGGGAGUUCCAGACAACAAAAGUCAUCACCUUUUUCAGAGAAGAAAACCUGCCUCUAGAAUAGGCUGUAGGCCCUCCUUCCUGAAGAUGGAUGGGUUCCACAUGGCUGCGCGGGCCACCAUCACGGAAGAUGCUGAAGUCACUUGCCGGAAGGCUUCUAGGUCUGAAUAUACUUUGAUGUGGUCGUGAGAUCCUCCACUGAAAGCCAACACAAGGAGUUAUCACUAUUUUCAAUGAUGUGAACAUCCCCCCCCCAAAAAAAGAGUGGUGCUGGGCAACCCCCCCCGCCUGAGAGCUGCGAGAUUCCCCGUGGGGUCAAAACAAGAGGGAAUCCAGGGAGCUAGCAGCCACAGGCCACCAUCCCUCAGCGGGCUGUGAAAUGGGGAGAAUGUCACCUUCUACUUUGGUAGGCUGCAGCCGGACACCCCAAGCAACUGGCUAACAACACGCCCACACCCACUGUCCCACCUCUGACAUUUCUGCUAUAAGGAUGAGAGUCAUAAAUACCAGACCUGGACGCCUGGAUCAAGGGCCAAGAAUGGGCACCAGGAGGGGGUUUCUGUUUUCCCAGAAGCGUCUCCAACUCCCUCUUGGAGAGGACCGUCACCCUAACUAGGUCUGAGACCAGCAGCUGCUGCUUUCAGCCAAGCUGACUUGACAUUCGGUUCCCAAACAUGGCUUCCAUAGUCCCAUCUGCAGGCUGGGGGUGGGGUGGGGAGGAGGGACACAUCUUUGGCUUUUGUCCUGCUAUUAGUAUGUCUUUGUUGCAGAUCUCCCUAAUACACUGUACACGCUACCCCUAAAUCCUAUUACUCUCUAGUCCUUGCCCACCACCUGCUGACUUAGUGCUUUGAUGUGACAGCUUCCCUGGCUCCAGCCUCCCCAUCACCAACUUUGCCCCCCAUCUGGUCUGUUCCUCCACCUGCCCCUCCUGUCUUACUUUGCUUCAAGAAGUAACUAAAAGGAUGUCUUUGGUGGAAUGAGAAGAUAUUGUAA
Molecule: long non-coding RNA, 2964 nt
Organism: Antechinus flavipes (yellow-footed antechinus)
Lineage: Eukaryota; Metazoa; Chordata; Mammalia; Dasyuromorphia; Dasyuridae
Exons: 2
Source: RefSeq, a predicted model, not a curated record